UGUGCUGGUGCCGUAGCCAGAUCGCCAAAGCAUAAGGCCUCUCCUUCGAACUGCGUGGUGGCACAGGCAGUGACGUACCAGUGCAGGCGUCAACACAUAUACACAGAGAACGCAUGGGGACGAGUGCCAAUGGUGUUGUUUGCAUCUUGACACCUGACAAGCUCCACCUCUCCACCAUCGUCCGAGGGCCGUCCCUUCCUCGACCUCUCGCCGGCUUGCCGACUCCACACUGCAACGGCAUCGCCUCAGAGGACUGUGCUCAGGUCGCUGCAGCUGAGUGCAGAUGGAGGUGACAUACAUUGCCGAUUGCGGGCAUCACACCCUCAAGUACGCCGGGCUCUCGAAGUGGAACCGCAAGACCGUCGAAGUACUCGUCAAAGAGCGCCGGAAUGAGUGCAACGCGUACGUGGCCGAUGACGAGCGGCUUCGACAAUGCGUACCUCAGCUGCUCUCCGGAGAAUUGCGCGCUGACGAGGAGCUGACGCUCAUUUUGCUGCUGGACACCUUCCACUCACAGAAAUCAAAGGCAUCGCUGCUGUACUCGUGUUUCGAGCAGUUCGGGUGCAAGAAGGUGUGCCUUCACUACACCGCAUCUGCAGGACUCUACGCAGCUGGUGAGACCUCUGGGGUAGUGGUGGACCUCGGCUACGCCGGGGCUCAGCUCACUUCGGUGCAGCAGGGUACGGUGCAAACGGCCAUGUCGACGCGACUCUCUUCGGUCGGCACUCGAAGCCUCGACGGCGAGCUGCACAGGCUGCUGCGCGGCGACAUGACGGAGGCGACACUUCACCUUGUGAAGGCUCACUGUUGCUCACUGAUGGAGCGGGACGAGCUGGUACCGGAGCUGACGCUACCGGACGGCUCCGUGUUCCCAUACGACGACCGGACGAGGAGUGAGCUCCACAGGGCCAGCAGCGCGCUUCUUUACUCCACCACGUCUUCCGUGCCGGAAACUUUGCGCACAGUUUACCAGAAGCACUCGAUUCGCUUCCCCGACUCCACCUCGUGGGUGCAGCUGGGCGGUGGAUCACUAAUCCGCGGUGUGGAUGAGGUGCUCACAGCAGCAAUGGCCCACCCGCUUUUCCGGCACGCGCCUAAGCGGCUUCACUUGAAGGACGUCACGCAUGCCCCAGUCAGCGGCGGCAUCAUCCUAUCGCAGCUGAACGUGUUCAAGAGCAUGUGCAUCGGCGUUAGCGACUACGAGGAAUAUGGCCCCGACGGAUGUCUCCGCAUGCAGGUCGCGGACGCCCGGUGACGACACGAGCGGAGCGCGUUUUCGCAUAUGCGCCAGCCCGUUUUGUCACAAGGGCCGUUUUCCCCUUUUUUCCCUUCCCCACCCUUUUCCGGCCCUUUCAGAGGGGGCAGCGCACAGACGCACGCGCACACCAGCACAUACAUCCCUGCUGCUGCUGAUGUACCAGCACAGCAGCCCGCUUGCUUUGCCAACGGUCGCAGAAGUCACUGGUGAAAGUGCCACUGCCAUGAUGAACUCUCCUGUGUGAGCGCACAUAUCCCCCUGCUUCCUUCGUGCUGCUCACUCUCUCCUUGUCUUUACUUUUCCGGUUGUUUGCCCCCCCCCCCCCUCGGCGCGCUGGGUGCGUCCAAGAGGCUCCUGGUAGCAUCGAGUGGCUCUCCGGUCUCUGGUGGGGUUAGGAUCGCACGUGGGAGACGGAGAGGAGGACGGUGUGCUGGCGGGGAUGCUGGGAUGGGGAUCUUAUAGUACCGGUACUCGCCAUCCCCUCUUUUUUUGCUACAGUGCUCUCUCCCAGAGCCAAGCGGCUGCCACGUACGGAUGGGGCACUCCUCUGUCACACGGCACCUUCUGUCCAUUCAAUGUUCUUCCUCUUUGCCCCCCCUCCCUCCCUCGUGCCUUCUCACAUGCCGCUCUGUUCGCUUUUUGUGUUUGCUUCUGUCUGGCGGGGAUGCUGUCGCCUUGACAUGGCUGUGUGUGCGUCUGUGGAAAG
RNAcentral lists this unclassified non-coding RNA (1964 nucleotides) under Leishmania donovani. Its description in RNAcentral is "gene:LdHU3.29.4170(CDS-product:actin-like_protein _putative)". The record is from RNAcentral. Lineage: Eukaryota; Euglenozoa; Kinetoplastea; Trypanosomatida; Trypanosomatidae.